This 2902-nucleotide ribosomal RNA is filed under the name Klebsiella pneumoniae. Its description in RNAcentral is "23S ribosomal RNA". It matches the Rfam family "Bacterial large subunit ribosomal RNA". Lineage: Bacteria; Pseudomonadati; Pseudomonadota; Gammaproteobacteria; Enterobacterales; Enterobacteriaceae. The record is from RNAcentral.
GGUUAAGCGACUAAGCGUACACGGUGGAUGCCCUGGCAGUCAGAGGCGAUGAAGGACGUGCUAAUCUGCGAAAAGCGUCGGUAAGGUGAUAUGAACCGUUAUAACCGGCGAUGUCCGAAUGGGGAAACCCAGUGCAAUUCGUUGCACUAUCGUUAACUGAAUACAUAGGUUAACGAGGCGAACCGGGGGAACUGAAACAUCUAAGUACCCCGAGGAAAAGAAAUCAACCGAGAUUCCCCCAGUAGCGGCGAGCGAACGGGGAGCAGCCCAGAGUCUGAAUCAGCUUGUGUGUUAGUGGAACGGUCUGGAAAGUCCGACGGUACAGGGUGAUAGUCCCGUACACCAAAAUGCACAGGCUGUGAACUCGAAGAGUAGGGCGGGACACGUGGUAUCCUGUCUGAAUAUGGGGGGACCAUCCUCCAAGGCUAAAUACUCCUGACUGACCGAUAGUGAACCAGUACCGUGAGGGAAAGGCGAAAAGAACCCCGGCGAGGGGAGUGAAAAAGAACCUGAAACCGUGUACGUACAAGCAGUGGGAGCACCUUCGGGUGUGACUGCGUACCUUUUGUAUAAUGGGUCAGCGACUUAUAUUCUGUAGCAAGGUUAACCGUAUAGGGGAGCCGCAGGGAAACCGAGUCUUAACUGGGCGUUAAGUUGCAGGGUAUAGACCCGAAACCCGGUGAUCUAGCCAUGGGCAGGUUGAAGGUUGGGUAACACUAACUGGAGGACCGAACCGACUAAUGUUGAAAAAUUAGCGGAUGACUUGUGGCUGGGGGUGAAAGGCCAAUCAAACCGGGAGAUAGCUGGUUCUCCCCGAAAGCUAUUUAGGUAGCGCCUCGUGAACUCAUCUUCGGGGGUAGAGCACUGUUUCGGCUAGGGGGUCAUCCCGACUUACCAACCCGAUGCAAACUACGAAUACCGAAGAAUGUUAUCACGGGAGACACACGGCGGGUGCUAACGUCCGUCGUGAAGAGGGAAACAACCCAGACCGCCAGCUAAGGUCCCAAAGUCAUGGUUAAGUGGGAAACGAUGUGGGAAGGCACAGACAGCCAGGAUGUUGGCUUAGAAGCAGCCAUCAUUUAAAGAAAGCGUAAUAGCUCACUGGUCGAGUCGGCCUGCGCGGAAGAUGUAACGGGGCUAAACCAUGCACCGAAGCUGCGGCAGCGACACUAUGUGUUGUUGGGUAGGGGAGCGUUCUGUAAGCCUGCGAAGGUGACCUGUGAGGGUUGCUGGAGGUAUCAGAAGUGCGAAUGCUGACAUAAGUAACGAUAAAGCGGGUGAAAAGCCCGCUCGCCGGAAGACCAAGGGUUCCUGUCCAACGUUAAUCGGGGCAGGGUGAGUCGACCCCUAAGGCGAGGCCGAAAGGCGUAGUCGAUGGGAAACAGGUUAAUAUUCCUGUACUUGGUGUUACUGCGAAGGGGGGACGGAGAAGGCUAUGUUAGCCGGGCGACGGUUGUCCCGGUUUAAGCAUGUAGGCUGGUUGUCCAGGCAAAUCCGGAUAAUCAAGGCUGAGGUGUGAUGACGAGGCACUACGGUGCUGAAGUAACAAAUGCCCUGCUUCCAGGAAAAGCCUCUAAGCAUCAGGUAACAUUAAAUCGUACCCCAAACCGACACAGGUGGUCAGGUAGAGAAUACCAAGGCGCUUGAGAGAACUCGGGUGAAGGAACUAGGCAAAAUGGUGCCGUAACUUCGGGAGAAGGCACGCUGGUGUGUAGGUGAAGUCCCUGCGGAUGGAGCUGAGACCAGUCGAAGAUACCAGCUGGCUGCAACUGUUUAUUAAAAACACAGCACUGUGCAAACACGAAAGUGGACGUAUACGGUGUGACGCCUGCCCGGUGCCGGAAGGUUAAUUGAUGGGGUUAUCCGUAAGGAGAAGCUCUUGAUCGAAGCCCCGGUAAACGGCGGCCGUAACUAUAACGGUCCUAAGGUAGCGAAAUUCCUUGUCGGGUAAGUUCCGACCUGCACGAAUGGCGUAAUGAUGGCCAGGCUGUCUCCACCCGAGACUCAGUGAAAUUGAACUCGCUGUGAAGAUGCAGUGUACCCGCGGCAAGACGGAAAGACCCCGUGAACCUUUACUAUAGCUUGACACUGAACAUUGAGCCUUGAUGUGUAGGAUAGGUGGGAGGCUUUGAAGCGUGGACGCCAGUCUGCGUGGAGCCAACCUUGAAAUACCACCCUUUAAUGUUUGAUGUUCUAACGUUGGCCCCUGACCGGGGUUGCGGACAGUGUCUGGUGGGUAGUUUGACUGGGGCGGUCUCCUCCCAAAGCGUAACGGAGGAGCACGAAGGUUAGCUAAUCCUGGUCGGACAUCAGGAGGUUAGUGCAAUGGCAUAAGCUAGCUUGACUGCGAGCGUGACGGCGCGAGCAGGUGCGAAAGCAGGUCAUAGUGAUCCGGUGGUUCUGAAUGGAAGGGCCAUCGCUCAACGGAUAAAAGGUACUCCGGGGAUAACAGGCUGAUACCGCCCAAGAGUUCAUAUCGACGGCGGUGUUUGGCACCUCGAUGUCGGCUCAUCACAUCCUGGGGCUGAAGUAGGUCCCAAGGGUAUGGCUGUUCGCCAUUUAAAGUGGUACGCGAGCUGGGUUUAGAACGUCGUGAGACAGUUCGGUCCCUAUCUGCCGUGGGCGCUGGAGAAUUGAGGGGGGCUGCUCCUAGUACGAGAGGACCGGAGUGGACGCAUCACUGGUGUUCGGGUUGUCAUGCCAAUGGCACUGCCCGGUAGCUAAAUGCGGAAGAGAUAAGUGCUGAAAGCAUCUAAGCACGAAACUUGCCCCGAGAUGAGUUCUCCCUGAGACUUUAAGUCUCCUGAAGGAACGUUGAAGACGAUGACGUUGAUAGGCCGGGUGUGUAAGCGCAGCGAUGCGUUGAGCUAACCGGUACUAAUGAACCGUGAGGCUUAACCUU